RNAcentral lists this ribosomal RNA (382 nucleotides) under uncultured eukaryote. RNAcentral's name for it is "partial 18S ribosomal RNA". It matches the Rfam family "Eukaryotic small subunit ribosomal RNA", at positions 592 to 976 of the family's 1831-position model. The record is from RNAcentral.
UGUAAGCGUAUACCAAAGUUGUUGCAGUUAAAACGCUCGUAGUCGGAAUUUGGCAGUUCCGGAUGUGUGCACGUCGUGUGCGCACUUCGCGGGGAUUGCUUUUGUGGUCUUGCGUAGGAUGAGGCACUUUUAUUAGUGAACGUCCUCACGCAACCACUUUUUACUGUGAGAAAAUCAGAGUGCUCAAAGCAGGCAUUUGCCGUGAAUGUAUUAGCAUGGAAUAAUAGAAUAGGACUUGGUUCUAUUUUGUUGGUUUGUUGGGACUGAGUAAUGAUUAAGAGGGACAGUUGGGGGCAUUUGUAUUUCGGUGCUAGAGGUGAAAUUCUUAGAUUACCGAAAGACAAACUGCUGCGAGAGCGUCUGCCAAGGAUGUUUUCAUUGA